Sphingomonas melonis TY is the source of this 87-nucleotide non-coding RNA. Lineage: Bacteria; Pseudomonadati; Pseudomonadota; Alphaproteobacteria; Sphingomonadales; Sphingomonadaceae. The record is from Rfam.
GAGAGCCGGAUGCAGUGAAAGUUGCACGUCCGGUUCGGAGGGGGGCAGUGGGGUGUUCUCUCGUAGACGCCACCCUGCCUACCCUAC